RNAcentral lists this ribosomal RNA (343 nucleotides) under uncultured rhodophyte. RNAcentral's name for it is "SSU rRNA". It matches the Rfam family "Eukaryotic small subunit ribosomal RNA", at positions 576 to 926 of the family's 1831-position model. The record is from RNAcentral. Lineage: Eukaryota; Rhodophyta.
GCGGUAAUUCCAGCUCCAGUAGCGUAUAUUAAAGUUGUUGCAGUUAAAAAGCUCGUAGUCGAACCUCGGGCGCGGGACACGAGUUCGGCACUGCCGGCGCUUGUGUCUUACGCCUUUUUCCUGGCGACCUGGCCGCUCUUCACUGAGUGUGCUUGUGAAGGCAGGACGUUUACUGUGAAAAAAUUAGAGUGUUCAAAGCAGGCCUUUCCGCCAUGAAUACACUAGCAUGGAAUAAUAGAAUAGGACUUGGGUUCUAUUUUGUUGGUUCUAGGACCGAAGUAAUGAUUAAUAGGGACAGUUGGGGGCAUUCGUAUUUCAUUGUCAGAGGUGAAAUUCUUGGAUU